Molecule: unclassified non-coding RNA, 5032 nt
Filed under: Hevea brasiliensis (rubber tree)
Lineage: Eukaryota; Viridiplantae; Streptophyta; Magnoliopsida; Malpighiales; Euphorbiaceae
Source: RNAcentral
GUCCAGGAUACCGAUUGACGUCCUCAAUUUAACCCAACCUUAUAGGAAGGGAUCUACCACUGAACUGAACUCAAGGUAGCAUUGAACUCAAGGUAACACUCACUAAGACGAAUCAUUGGACAACCUACUACUUCCUUCCAUGGCACUCAUAAGUAGCCACCAUGGUCGGUAGUGCUGAAUGUUUAUUGUUGUAGAAACUGAAUUUAGAGUUUAGACAUUAAUGCAUAGGUUUUCUGCCCUUGAGCAACAGGCAAGAACAUUGAGUUGUGCAAACAGGGAGUGGGUGCUGAAAGCUUUGAGAGCUAUUUGGUAUACUUUUAACAGCUAGGGCUUUUUGUCUGCUUCUCAAUUUGGCAUCUGCUGGUUACUCUUCCGAUGGGAUGGGAAAUUUUGCCAGACUGAUACGAGGUGUGAUGUGUGCACAAUUGCUCCAGCAAACUUGGAAGCGGAUGAAGGUUUUCUCGGUCAGUUGUUUGCAGCCGUUGGGUGCACAGAAAAUGAAUGCAAAAGCAUCCUGGAGAAAGUCAAGUUUACAGACCAUAUUGUUUCUGCUACUUAAGUGUAUGUAAACGACAAUGAACAGAAAGCUCUUUUAAAUUUCAGCAGGAAAUUGCACAGAAAACAAUGGUUAGGAUCCAUUCCCAACUUGAACAAACUUGGGGUUUGAUUUUACCCCCUUGAUAAAAACAUAAAAUCAAAUCACACCACUGGAUAACUGAAAACACCUAUUUUCCCAGUGCCCACAGUUAAAAGGGCUGCGGACUGGGGCUUCAAAUUCACCAUAGGCCCUCAAUUGCAGGAACCUAGGGAUUUUCCAACUCACCUAUCUAACAGCCACUAAUUUACAGUAGUACAUUAACCCACUUAAAUUAAGCACUAAUUGAGAACAAAACGCCUUUUGCCACAGCUUCUCCAACUUUGAAAAAGUAUGGCACUACACCUAUCUAACUAAGAAAAACCUUUCCUGUAGUCUUCCUUAUUAUUCUUGCUUGCUUCUUCUGCUGGUAAUGUGUAGUUAAAUUACUAGAUGCAAUAUAAAUUAGCAUUUUCUCAAAUUUUUCCCUAAUUAACCCCUCAAAUUAUUUGGAGCACAGAUAGCUUCAACAGACAAUCGCUUCAAAACAUUUGGACAUGGAUCUUGGCCAAAGUUACUGUUGGAUAUGGUGAUUGUACAUCUCUGCUUCCCUAUGCAUUUCUUCUCAACGAUAUUGUAUGAAGCGGGAGCGUGGCAAGGUCCUUGCUGGUAACUCCCACAAGUUCCCAAAGGAGUUCCAAAGCUUGCAAAUUUAAUGGAAGAAAUGGAUUGGCCCGGACUACACCGAAGGUGAACCUUGGGGCUAUGGAACUCUUCUGCUCUUCCAUAGCUCUCAAUGUGCCAAUUCUUAAUAGUUGGAUGAAACUCAGCGACCUCAGCACACACACUGGUCAUUGUUCUCUUCACAAGAGAAAUUCUAGAGGGAUUCCCUCCAAGUUCCUCAAAAACUACCAAGAGAUUUUGGGUUGGCUUCAACCACGACCGAGGCACAUGGUACCAUCGCUGGGUUGGUUGACCACAACCAAGCUGACACUUAAGAGGACGGAAUGUUCCUGCAUAGCUGCACCCAUUGCAAUUACCAGUAGCGUAUGCAGUCCAGUAUCUGCCUAUAGUCUGCCCAUUAAUCCAUAUUUGACCCUUUCCCAUACCCUCCAUGUCCAAAGCCAAUGGCUCAUCCCCAUCAGGUGCAUUGAAAUAGGCCUUAUGCCAUGUUAAUGGUUGCUGUCUUUUUGCAAUUAGUGAUGCUUCCAUCCACCCAACAGAUGAAACACUAUUUGGAGAAACUAGGUUCAUGGCUUCCCCUUUCAACCCAACCUGGUAUGUCCAUUUUUGCCAGGACAAAUCCCAUUUUCCCUGGUCAAGUCCAUGCAGUGCAACUGGACCUAGGAUUCCUGUGUUCCAUGUCUCAAAGUGUCCACCCACAUUCUUCAUAUAAACAAGAUACAUUCAUCAGAAAUUCAAUAAGAAGUGCACAUGACAUUAACUAUCAAAAUUAGACGCAAAUAUGCUCAUAAGAAUUUCAACAUCCUACUGUAGACACGGCUUGAUUCAUGGAACUAGUUUUCUCUUUCCUUUUUUAUUUUCAAGCUAAUUAUUACUGAUAGCCAAACCACACUCAUACGUACAUAAAUUUUUUUUGGUUAACCAGUUUGCUAUAUUUCCAUACAGAAACAUAUAAUAAUAAAAGCAUUUGUCAAUUGGCGUUUUGAGACUCCACUUACUGUUCGUUAAGUGUCCAAUUCAGCUUUACAGAUUGCUGACUUUUACAGUAGGACAUAUUUCCAAUAUUAGAAUAACAAAACCAUCCACAAAUAAUAAAGACAGGGAAGGGAAACUAACUUGCAAUCCAACUGCAACACUCAGCAAUGCAAUUUUGUUUUUUCCAGCACGCAAAUUGACCUUUCCAGUAUAUGUAAACCUCUUAUUCUCCCUUGUCCCAAAGGCAGAACCUGAAAGCUCUCCAUUAACAAAGAUGUGCACAGCAUGGCCUGCUGAUUGAACAAUGAGAGUGGGAAGUUUCCCUCCAUGUAAAAAGGAUUCUGACGAACCAAUAUCAACACUAGUGAUGUACCACAGGUAAUCACUAGCAUCCCUUGUUACAUUUAUCUGCUCCAAGAGACCAAGAGCAGUGAAUGUUGAGCUGUCAUCCAGAGAAGAAAUAUCUUCAUCAUAACUCUCCCAUGAAAGCAUCUCAUCAUUUGCCGGCAACAUUUCCAUUUGAGAUGUUUGAACUCCAACCUUUGCAGUAUUAAAGACCACAUUUCUGCAAUCAGGAAGGAUACUGAUGGACCAAGGAGGCAAGCUAUAAUGCAUGUUAUUGAACAACACCCUUGCAGCAGAUUUUGUAUCAUAGUUUGCAAGAAAAGCUGCACAAUCUCCUGAUUCUGAAGAGUACACAUGCGCCUGUUGAUAGGUCCCUAAUUCCGUCACAAUAGGAUCAGUUGACACUAAAGCUCGCUCACACAUCUUAAUAGACCUAUGGAGCUCCUUUAAAUGACCAUACUUUGGUUGCCUGAUCAAACCAUAUUCAUCUAUUGGGGCAUCAUAGUCAUAGCUGGUUGUAAUGAAUGGGCCUCCAGCAGAGCGUCCAAAAUUGGUUCCUCCAUGGUACAUGUAGUAGUUAACAUAUGACCCACCCUUCUGUAUGAAACGAGCAACUGCAAAUGCCAAAUCUUGAACUGGCCGCUGAUGAAUGGUGCCACCAAAUUCUGUAAACCAGCCACUCCAAGCCUCAGUCCAUAAUGUAGGUUUGUAAGGUUUGUUGGGAGAGAAAGCAUCACAAUAAAAGCCAUUACACGCAUUAAUCACAGGGUCUGGGGCAUCAUCUUCCUUGCACAUCACCCAUGGAACUCCAGUAUUCAGUCCAACAGCCAUUUUUGCAGCCCAAUUUAUAUAUGCAUGACCAGCAGACCCCAGAGCCUUGCUCUCUGGACCAUACUCAUUUUCAAUCUGAGAGAGGAUGAUGGGGCCACCUUGUGAUGCAAAUAGCUUUUCAUUUUUCAUCAUCUCCACAAUUUUUUGGGUGAACCCUUGCAUUGCCACCUUCAAAAACCAAACGGAGAUAACAAUAUUAUUUGUCGUCUUAUAUAUCUCUCCAAUUAUUUUCUCAGAAGUUUUGCUUAUUCUUUUUUCAGCAAAAAGAAAUUUAAAAGCAGAAAUAGAACAAUAUGAACCUUGAAAGGCUCAUUAUCUGUUCUGAAGCUGAUACCGGGAACAUACUUCAACCAAACAGGAAAACCCCUACGCAGUUUAACAGAGACAAGAUCAACCAAAGCAUUUCAUUUUAAGCAGGUUAAAAAACAAAUAUUAACCCCAGGCCCCCCGAAUCAACAAAUUUCAAAGAAGGAAAACAAAAUCCCGUCACUUGUAAAGCAUUUACCCUGCAAUCUAAAAUGAAAAAUAUGUAAUGAAUAUCACAAAAAUUGGGGAGAAACAAAAGGAAAAAUAUUGCAGGUACCCAAAAUUCCAUUCUGCACAAACAUAAGGUCCAAUGCGGAGAUGAGCAUAUAGCCCCACUUUCUGGAUUGUCUUAAUAAACCGUACCAGGUCGUAUCUUCCCUCAAAAUUAUAAUUGCCUGGAGAAGGCUCAUGAACAUCCCAAAAAACGUAAGUGUCAAUAACAUCUAACCCUCCAUCUUUUGCCUUAUGUAUAAGGUCUUCCCACAUUUCAGGAGUGCUUCUGGGAUAGUGAAUGGAGCCGGAGAUGAGGAUUCUCCUUUGACCAUUGAUGAUAAUGGACUUCUUGUCGUAGGUGACACCGCACUGGAUCAGCUCAGAACCCAUAAACAAGGCCAUCAAGAAGAUGGUUAAAGGCUUGGAAACUGAGUUAGUUCCCAUCUCUCUUUCUCUCUCUAUCUACAACUGGGUGGAGGGAAAAUUUGAAAAGAGAACUGAAAUGCGAAGAGAAUCAGUGAUACAAAGAGGAAAGUUAAUGAGCUUCUCUGAAGUCUGAUCUACUACUCUGCUCUGCUAUGCCAUCCGCUAAUGAGCUUGAACUUUACUGGCCAGUGGCCACACCACCACACAAUCUACUGGCUGACUGGCUUUGUAUAAAUGAUUAAUGAUUCUGCUUUUAUAUUCCAUUUUACUCAUUUCUAUUAUAAAAUUAUGCACUUUUAUUUCUGAGGAAAAUUAGAAGGAAAAAGAGAGGCAAUUUUUUUGUAUUAGAUUGUUGAAAUAAAUAAAAAAAUAUAUUGAGUGAUCUUGUCUUCCUAUUAAAUAUAUUUUUUUGGAUGGUGUUGUGGUAGUCUUAUAUUUUUCUACAUAUUUCUUCGAGAAUCCAUAAAUUCACAAGAGAUAGAUAGCAUUUGAUGGUUUCAUAUGGGAAUUUUUAGUUUUAUUUUUAUCUUUAUCGACUUUGAAGGGAUGGACAACAUAACAACAGAUUAAGACAAAAUGAUAAAAGCAAGAACAAUUAAUGCAGCAAAAUUGGAUGCACACUCCAUCCUCACCGCAUGAAUUAAAUUGACAAUAGCUUAAUUCUGAACAAAAACCCAC